GAUGAAGAACGCAGUGAAAUGCGAUAAUUAAUGUGAAUUGCAGAAUUCAGUGAAUCAUCGAGUCUUUGAACGCACAUUGCGCCCCCUGGUAUUCCGGGGGGCAUGCCUGUCCGAGCGUCAUUGCUGCCCUCAAGCACGGCUUGUGUGUUGGGCUUCCGUCCCUGGCAACGGGGACGGGCCCAAAAGGCAGUGGCGGCACCAUGUCUGGUCCUCGAGCGUAUGGGGCUUUGUCACCCGCUCCCGUAGGUCCAGCUGGCAGCUAGCCUCGCAACCAAUCUUUUUAACCAGGUUGACCUCGCAUCAGGUAGGGAUACCCGCUGAACUUAAGCAUAUCAAUAAGCGGAGGA
This 347-nucleotide unclassified non-coding RNA is filed under the name soil metagenome. Its description in RNAcentral is "partial contains 5.8S ribosomal RNA, internal transcribed spacer 2, and large subunit ribosomal RNA". The stretch from base 1 to 120 matches the Rfam family "5.8S ribosomal RNA", at positions 35 to 154 of the family's 154-position model. The record is from RNAcentral.